GACGAACGCUGGCGGCGUGCUUAACACAUGCAAGUCGAACGGAAAGGCCCUGCUUUUGUGGGGUGCUCGAGUGGCGAACGGGUGAGUAACACGUGAGUAACCUGCCCUUGACUUUGGUAUAACUUCAGGAAACUGGGGUUACUACCGUAUAGGAGCUCCUGUUGCAUGGUGGGGGUUGGAAAUUUUCGGCGUUUGGGGAUGGAUGCGCGGCUUAUCAGUUUGUUGGUGGGGUAGUGGCUUACCAAGGCUUUGACGGGUAGCCGGCCUGUGAGGGUGACCGGCCACAUUGGGACUGAGAUACGGACCAGACUCGUACGGGAGGCAGCAGUGGGGAAUAUUGCACAAUGAGAGGAAGCCUGAUGCAGAAACGCCGCGGGCGGGAUGACGGCCUGCGGGUUGUAAACAGCAGUAGCCUGUGACGAAGCGUGAGUGACGGUAAUGGGUAAAGAAGCACCGGCUAACUACGUG
This 468-nucleotide ribosomal RNA is filed under the name uncultured bacterium. RNAcentral's name for it is "partial 16S ribosomal RNA". It matches the Rfam family "Bacterial small subunit ribosomal RNA", at positions 28 to 507 of the family's 1533-position model. The record is from RNAcentral.